GUGCCAGCAGCCGCGGUAAUACCGGCAGCCCAAGUGAUGGCCACUCUUAUUGGGCCUAAAGCGUCCGUAGCCGGCCUCGCAAGUCCGUCGGGAAAUCCAGUAGCUCAACUACUGGGCGUCCGGCGGAAACUACAAGGCUUGGGACCGGAAGGCUCGAGGGGUACGUCCGGGGUAGGAGUGAAAUCCCGUAAUCCCGCACGGACCACCGAUGGCGAAAGCACCUCGAGAAAACGGAUCCGACAGUGAGGGACGAAAGCCAGGGUCUCCAACCGGAUUAGAUACCCGUGUAGUCC
This 293-nucleotide ribosomal RNA is filed under the name uncultured bacterium. RNAcentral describes it as "partial 16S ribosomal RNA". It matches the Rfam family "Archaeal small subunit ribosomal RNA", at positions 455 to 747 of the family's 1478-position model. The record is from RNAcentral.